GAUGAAGAACGUAGCGAAGUGCGAUAAGUAGUGUGAAUUGCAGAAUUUCGUGAAUCAUCGAAUCUUUGAACGCAAAUUGCACUCUCCGGUUUUCCGGGAGAGUAUGCCUGUUUGAGGGUCAGCCUAAAUAAAUUCGGCUUCGUUGCUGUUGUUUUCGCGGUAACGUUUUUAGUCGGGAUUUGGGUCAUCUUAAACCGAAAGGUUUUUAAGCGACUUAAAAUUUUUUUACGAUCCCACGAACGUUUCUAAGUACUUCUUACACGUUCAAGGUAUCGAAAACCCCUAUUAGGCGUGGCCGUCGUAUCGGAUCGCGUCCAUAAUAUUUAUUCUUUAACUGACCUCAGACAGGUAAGAAUACCCGCUGAACUUAAGCAUAUCAAAAGCGGAGGA
Molecule: unclassified non-coding RNA, 390 nt
Filed under: soil metagenome
Description: partial contains 5.8S ribosomal RNA, internal transcribed spacer 2, and large subunit ribosomal RNA
Rfam family: 5.8S ribosomal RNA (bases 1-121)
Source: RNAcentral